UACGAAGGGGGCUAGCGUUGCUCGGAAUCACUGGGCGUAAAGCGCACGUAGGCGGACUCUUAAGUCGGUGGUGAGAUCCUGGAGCUCAACUCCAGAACUGCCUUCGAUACUGAGAGUCUCGAGUCCGGGAGAGGUGAGUGGAACUGCGAGUGUAGAGGUGAAAUUCGUAGAUAUUCGCAAGAACACCAGUGGCGAAGGCGGCUCACUGGCCCGGUACUGACGCUGAGGUGCGAAAGCGUGGGGAGCGAACAGG
RNAcentral lists this ribosomal RNA (253 nucleotides) under uncultured bacterium. RNAcentral's name for it is "partial 16S ribosomal RNA". It matches the Rfam family "Bacterial small subunit ribosomal RNA", at positions 524 to 776 of the family's 1533-position model. The record is from RNAcentral.